GGAAUACAAGCGAUAGGCCCUUUGGAUCUUCUGCACAAUAAGGCGACGCAGCGCAAUACGGACGCGCAGCGUUGAACGUCAACCAUGACUUGUCGGUGACAGAUCUCAAACAAUGACAUCAGCACCAUACGAAUGAAAUCAUACUCUCGUGAUAGUGAAGUAAUGAUGAAAAGUUACAUAUUUAUGUCCAAUAAUUGCGUUUUGUACAACUAUAAGGUUUAUAAACUGAAUUCGAUAAAUUAGUAAUCCUAUAGUUGAGUAUUGGCAAAUCAAAUAUUUACUCUAAAGUGAUCUUACAUACUAAAUUAAAUACUAAAUAGUACGGAAUCUGCUCUAACCUCUAAAGCCAAGGCUGGAAUUAAAGUUGGAUUGUUCGGAUAGUUGGUAAACUAAUUUUCGAGUUAGCGGAAAAACCGAACUACGAAACCGUUUUUUAACACAGGUGUUAAU
Long non-coding RNA from Aedes albopictus (Asian tiger mosquito), 450 nucleotides. RefSeq lists it as uncharacterized. The transcript is spliced from 3 exons. Lineage: Eukaryota; Metazoa; Arthropoda; Insecta; Diptera; Culicidae. The record is from RefSeq and is a predicted model, not a curated record.